RNAcentral lists this ribosomal RNA (450 nucleotides) under uncultured organism. RNAcentral's name for it is "partial 16S ribosomal RNA". It matches the Rfam family "Bacterial small subunit ribosomal RNA", at positions 330 to 797 of the family's 1533-position model. The record is from RNAcentral.
CGUACACUCCUGCGGGAGGCAUCAGUGGGGAAUAUUGGACAAUGGGCGCAAGCCUGAUCCAGCCAUGCCGCGUGAGUGAUGAAGGCCCUAGGGUUGUAAAGCUCUUUCACCGGUGAAGAUAAUGACGGUAACCGGAGAAGAAGCCCCGGCUAACUUCGUGCCAGCAGCCGCGGUAAUACGAAGGGGGCUAGCGUUGUUCGGAUUUACUGGGCGUAAAGCGCACGUAGGCGGACUAUUAAGUCAGGGGUGAAAUCCCGGGGCUCAACCCCGGAACUGCCUUUGAUACUGGUAGUCUUGAGUUCGAGAGAGGUGAGUGGAAUUCCGAGUGUAGAGGUGAAAUUCGUAGAUAUUCGGAGGAACACCAGUGGCGAAGGCGGCUCACUGGCUCGAUACUGACGCUGAGGUGCGAAAGCGUGGGGAGCAAACAGGAUUAGAAACCCGUGUAGUCCC